ACACGAGCGCCUGGCUCCCACUCCCGCUCUGUUUGCAACCAAACACACGAGCUCCUGGUAACGAUCCCUGGGAACAGGCUGGGCUCCAGGAUGGGACGGCAGCUCCGGGAUGGGAUGGUCACUCCGGCGAGUGCAUGGAAUUGGGUGUAGGCACUGUGACCGCGAUCCCAGGCAUGGGCUGAGCCUGCUGCAAGUGCUGCUGGGGUGGCAGUGCCGGGAUUUGCAGCUGCAUAUCCACCUCCAGGGUCAUCUGUUCAGAGCCAGGCUCCCUAAAUAACCCACGGGGGUUAUUCCCAGGUGCCUCAGCUGUGGUCCUGGCACUGCUCAGAUUGUGAGGGAUGUGACAGGGGCACACGUGUGGCUGGGACAGGCUCACUCACUGCCAAGGCACAGCACUGCACCUCUGCGUCCCAGACACCUGCUACGGAAAACACAGGAGAAGGAGGCGGAGGGUGGAUCCAGCCCCAUCCUCAGUGAGAGUGUACCAGUGGUAGGCUGGAGUGAGGCUGGGGGAUAUUAGCUCUCCUUUGAGCAGGUUGGAGGGAGUUUGUGGCCGUCUGUCCCUUAAGGCUCUUUCUGAGCAUCCAAAGUUCCUCGAAAAAACUGUGGCUUGUGAAGGGAGAGGCGGGGAGACUUUAACCCUUUGCUGUCUCCAUUGCCCUGUUGCACAAAUGGGCUGUGGAAUUUCCAGGGCUGCCCUGCAUGCCUUGAGCUCUGUGGAAGUGACUCAGCCCUGUCCUUGAAGGCUUGGCAAAGGAAGAUUAUUUUGGGAAGAGGUGAGCAGGUCAGGCCCCACAGGACUCAUCCCCUGCCUGUGUGAGGCCCUGGUUGUGGAGCACAGGAGCUCCCAUGUGGGGACAGCUCUGAAGGGGAGUUGUGGGUGUUGAUGUGUUUUUGAUACGGGGAAAUCAAGACUGGGAAUCAUAGAAUCCUGGAAAUAUUUGGGUUGGAAGGUACCUUAAAGACCAUCUAAUUACAAUUCUCAUGCCAUGAGCAGGGAUAUGAGGUUGUUCCAAGCUCUGUCCAGCCUGGCUGUGAAUGUUUCCAAGGAAUGGGUCAUCCACACCCUCCCUGGCCAGCCUGUGCCAGGGCCUCCCCACCCUGCUGCUGAGGUGAUGCCACUGCUGCUCAGGUGAUGGCUCAUCCAAGGCAGGGACUGCAGGAUCUCCCAGGACAGCCAACUCCAUCAGCUGGCCUCUGCCUGCUCUGAAUCCUGAACAGCAGCAGCUUCUUCACAGCCUGUGGAGCCCCUGCAUAUAUCAGUUUACACAGAAUUUUUCCCCUCCAGCCUUCUUGGCUCUCAAGGAGGCAGCUCCAGUGGAUGCUGUUCCCAGCAUGGAGAAGGCAUCUCAGGAGAAUUCGUGUCAGUAAACACCGACUGGAUCUGUUGGUUGCAAAGUGCCCCAGAUCAGCCUGAAAAAAAUCGUGUCCUUGGAGGUGAUUGGAACAACUUUCUGGGAAGAACAAGAUAUUGAUCUGGGUCUUCAUCAAAAAGGGGAAUCUUACUAAA
Sturnus vulgaris (Common starling) is the source of this 1510-nucleotide non-coding RNA. NCBI's taxonomy places the organism in Eukaryota, Metazoa, Chordata, Aves, Passeriformes, Sturnidae. The record is from RefSeq and is a predicted model, not a curated record.